RNAcentral lists this ribosomal RNA (106 nucleotides) under uncultured bacterium. RNAcentral's name for it is "partial 16S ribosomal RNA". It matches the Rfam family "Bacterial small subunit ribosomal RNA", at positions 1377 to 1482 of the family's 1533-position model. The record is from RNAcentral.
AGCCUUGUACACACCGCCCGUCAAGCCACGAAAAUCCGGGGCAUCCGAAGUCGCCGCGCCAACCGCAAGGGGGCAAGCGCCGACGAUGAACCGGGUAAUUGGGACU